GAUGAACGCUGGCGGCGUGCCUAAUACAUGCAAGUCGAGCGAACUGACUAGAAGCUUGCUUCUCUGAUGUUAGCGGCGGACGGGUGAGUAACACGUGGAUAACCUACCUAUUAGACUGGGAUAACUUCGGGAAACCGUUGCUAAUACCGGGUAAUAUUUUGAACCGCAUGGUUCAAAAGUGAAAGACGGUCUUGCUUUUACUUAUAGAUUGAUCCGGGCUGCAUUUGCUAGUUUGUAAGGUAAACGGUUACCAAGGGAACCAUGCAGAACCGACGGGUGCGGGAGAUCGGCCACACGGAAACGGAGACACGCUACACACUCCUAGGAGAGGCAACAAUAGGGUAUCUCCCACAAGAGGAAAAAGCGUGACGGCGCCACGCCGCGUGAGUGAUGAAGGUCUUCGGAGCGUAGCACUCUGUUAUGAGGAAAGAACAUAUGUGUAAGUAAAGGUCCACAUCUUGACGGUACCUAAUCAGAAAGCCACGGCUAACUACGUG
Molecule: ribosomal RNA, 497 nt
Filed under: uncultured bacterium
Lineage: Bacteria
Description: partial 16S ribosomal RNA
Rfam family: Bacterial small subunit ribosomal RNA
Source: RNAcentral